Molecule: long non-coding RNA, 299 nt
Filed under: Arachis ipaensis
Lineage: Eukaryota; Viridiplantae; Streptophyta; Magnoliopsida; Fabales; Fabaceae
Description: long non-coding RNA (AIPA_LNC000024)
Source: RNAcentral
ACACCCAACGGUAACAGACACAUUAGGACCUCCAACAAUCAAAGUCACAAACAUGGAAGUACCCAAAUCCCCCACCCCCUCCCGGAAAAUACAUAACACUAAUGACAGAAAAAAAAUACCUAUGAUACGAAAUUAAUAGGGGUAGCAGGCGGGCCAGUCCGGCCAGAAGCCUGAUUGUUGGCAGGCACCCCGCCCCGCCUCACCCCACCUAGGGUGAAGGUCUUGUACCUCUAUAAUGCCCUGCCGUUUGUGGGCUGCUUUGUUAGUUUAGUUUAGUGUUUUUUGUAUGUAUACUAAAU